UUCCGGUUGAUCCUGCCGGACCUGACUGCUAUCGGAUUGAUACUAAGCCAUGCUAGUCUUUGUAGUAAUACAAGGCAUACGGCUCAGUAACGCGUAGUCAACCUACCCUAUGAACGGGGAUAAUCUCGGGAAACUGAGCAUAAUACCCGGCAGACCACUUAUCCUGGAAUGGUUAGUGGUUAAAAUGAUUCGUCGCCAUAGGAUGGGACUGCGGCCUAUCAGCUUGUUGGUGAGGUAAUGGCCCACCAAGGCGAUUACAGGUACGGGCUCUGAGAGGAGAGGCCCGGAGAUGGGUACUGAGACAAGGACCCAGGCCCUAUGGGGCGCAGCAGGCGAGAAAACUUUGCAAUGUGCGAAAGCACGACAAGGUUAAUCCGAGUGAUUUCUGCUAAAGGAAUCUUUUGUUAGUUCUAAAAAUACUAGUGAAUAAGGGGUGGGCAAGUUCUGGUGUCAGCCGCCGCGGUAAAACCAGCACCUCAAGUGGUCAGGAGGAUUAUUGGGCCUAAAGCAUCCGUAGCCUGUUCUAUAAGUUUGCGGUUAAAUCUAUACGCUCAACGUAUAGGCUGCCGUAAAUACUGUAGAACUAGGGAGUGGGAGAGGUAGACGGUACUCGAUAGGAAGGGGUAAAAUCCUUUGAUCUAUUGAUGACCACCUGUGGCGAAGGCGGUCUACCAGAACGCGUUCGACGGUGAGGGAUGAAAGCUGGGGGAGCAAACCGG
This 719-nucleotide ribosomal RNA is filed under the name uncultured marine group I thaumarchaeote. Its description in RNAcentral is "bacterial SSU rRNA". It matches the Rfam family "Archaeal small subunit ribosomal RNA", at positions 1 to 727 of the family's 1478-position model. The record is from RNAcentral. Lineage: Archaea; Thermoproteati; Nitrososphaerota.